Odontomachus brunneus is the source of this 3590-nucleotide long non-coding RNA. RefSeq lists it as uncharacterized. NCBI's taxonomy places the organism in Eukaryota, Metazoa, Arthropoda, Insecta, Hymenoptera, Formicidae. The record is from RefSeq and is a predicted model, not a curated record. The transcript is spliced from 4 exons.
UAAACAACGUGCCGCCUAAGGUCAUAAAAACCGCUCUCAAUCUCGGAUUAAACGACUCUUAAGUACGCGAGGUAUCGUGUCGAGAUAAACGUGUACGGUUCCGGGACGAGAAGCCUCUCUCUUGGGCAGAGAGUACGACGUUGCACAGGAUGUCGCGCGAGUGUUACGUACUUUCCCUCGUAGUGCGCACUUUUGACAAGUUUGAAAGUAAUUUUUCCUCAAUGGACGGAAUUUUAUUUCGCGUUUUUUUCCGCAUUAAACACAGACCAAGCGCAAAAAUUUGCGAUAAUGUUAAGUGAGGCGGAGCAUAAACGAAGCAUGAAAAUUUCGUCAUCCUAAGUAAAUUGGUUCGCCGGCUGUUACGUGCCCGCUGCGCUCUAAUUGCAAAACCAACGAGCUGCAUUGGCGCACUCUCACGGGAGCAAAUAUGCGAUGGCUUGGCCGCGGUUAUAUUGCGAGACAAUGUGCGUUGCGGCAUGACACCGUGGACAUAAGCUGCUUGAUGUUUCGAGAGACUGCCUGUUACGAGUCCUCAGUGGCGGUUACUCAAGCCCGACAUCGGCGACCCUAAGCGAAUUCUAACGACUCCGGGAUUUAGAGGCCCAAUUACGGGAACCGGAGAGAAAACGGCUCGCUGGAUGCAAAUGAAUGGUGCCAACAAUGCUGGGACAAGGGAGAGAAAGAGAAACAAAUACGAGCGCAACCUCGGAUAACUCUUAUUGGGGUAACCGCUCGCCGAGCAAUCGUACGAGAGAAACAUACGAAAUAUGUGAUGUACGCAACACACCGAACGGUGCAGACAGCACUAAGGUGGAGAUCAAAUGAAGCAAUUUGAGAUGUGAUACGGGCGAGAGAGAAAUCCGAGAUAUGAUAUGCGAUAUUUAGGAAAUGCCCGUGAUUAGGAACUUCUAUGUGAGGAAAAUACAUGUAACCGCGGGAAUAUUAUUAUACGAGGAGAGAUACGAAACGAGAUAUGCGUGCUUCAAGGGUAAUGAUUAAAUUACUUUUGAAUGCGAGAAGAAUCAUUCUGAACGCUUGGGAAUCAAUGAUAAAAACGUUCGGAGGAAUGAUUUUUGCGAUACCGUCGGAAGAAAGUCUGGGAAACUAGAGAAUCCGCGAAGCUGACCUGAUUUCAAGUCGCACGAUACGCGGGGAGAAAUAAUUUGUGUCGAAUUUCUUCCUUCAUUACGCAGCGCAGAGAUGGAUCAAAGUGUCGGAGAGUUCUUCGACUUAUCGCGGAGAAAUUAAGCGGGAGGAUGACAGUAUAACGAAGAUUAAUUAACGAGUUUUCUUUCAAAGAUGAGUCAGUGAUAGCCGGACGCGCAGUUUCCGUAAUGCGGGUCAUGGCCGCGGAUCUCUAUGAGUCGUCGGCUGGGAGAGAGUCUGUUUUGACCCGAAGUGACGUGAGAAACGCACAAAGCAGCUCCCUCGAAUUUAUUUCGCGGCAGGUGAGCGAAAUCAUUGACGGAGAGGAGGAUACGAGACAUGACAGAGAUCUUCGCCGAUCGCUCGGAGAAACGUUGCGUUGAUUUCGCGGCGAGUUUGACAGAAAAACAGAUAAGAGCAGAAGAAAUGAGCUGAUGACUAUGUUUAAUCUGGCAACGUGUAAUAAACAGACGUAGCCACGCCGGAAUAGUGGGUUUAUUACGUUCUCGGCGCUUUUCACCGGUUUGCAGCUUAAUCCAGCUCGAUUGUUGAAAAUUUCGACGCGGGACGAGGAGAAAAGUCGCAUUCGCUGAUAACAAUAUUAGCUUAACGGUUGUUAGGAUUAAUUGCGGACAUGCUUGGCUUCUCGUGCACCUCUGCGUGCUCUCUCGCGCCGGAAAUUCAUCUCUGUCCCGCGAUAUCAUCGCUUUCACGCGCGACUACGAGAGAUAAUCAGAGCGAUCACGCAUAAAUCGCGGGGACAUCGCAGAUAGAUGUGACAAGUGUUCUCCACACGGGAAUCGUUUCAAGCGAUAUUCUUCGGCACUUCUGCACUCCCAAUAUUAACUUCCGUAUCGCCGUCUAUGGCGGUCUGUUAUUCGCCUUUUAUUUCGACGACUGCGCGAUUGUAGCUCCCGAUAUGCGUAUGACACGUGCGAUAGUGGACGUUUACGGUGUGGGCGCGCGCGCAUAUCUGCAUAAGGGCCUUGCAGGCUGCUCGACAAACUGGCACACGUGGGCAACGAUAUCUGGUACGCGAUAGCGAUUUCGCCAUAGAUCAUGUAAGCGCGACGGUGUUUCGCGCGGUAGCGUUUCGCGAGUCACGAUUCUUCAGUGAGAUCCUGCGUCGCAGCUGCGAUCGGCCCCGAUAGUGCGGACCCGUUGGGUGAUUUUAACGCGACUCGUUUAACCUUUAAUCGAACGGAAAAUAACGUGAACGUUAGUCGAAGACGAGGAGGCAAUGAAACGCCCGUGAACACCGGCCAAAGCAAUAAUACUUUCGCUGUGAGAGGCGACGGCAUCGUGUCAGCACGAAUAGCGACUUGUUUCGGACGAAUAAUAAAAGUUUACGCUCGAGCUAUUUUCCAUACGUAAUAUUUUUUUAUUUGUACAUCGUAAAUAUUCUCGCUUGAAGAACAAGUGUACGGCGCCUCGGUCUCUCGAGUUGUAAGGAAACGAGGUCUUACUCUCUAAAUUUUUUUAAGUGAAAAGUGGCAGUAUUUUCACUCGAGGAGAUAGUGAUAAUACAAAUCGAGAUCGAGAUCACAAGAGUGAAUGUCUCACUUGAGAUUAGAGUGGAUUCUGACUACAUAUAAAUGAAUGUUUCAAUCGAUUGGAGUGAAUAUGUUCUCCCCUGACAACAGAAUGCAUCAAUUCACUCUUCAAUUUCGAGUGAAAAUUCACUCAACGAUUUAUAGUGGAAAAUCCACUCUGUAGAAGUGAAAAUUCGAAUUCGAGUAACUCGAUUGUCAUUCUAUUUUUGGAGUGAAAUUUCACUUCAAAAAAUUUAGAAAGUAAUUAUGGAUCAUUUAAGAAAGACUAGAGUAACUUUCAAUUAUUUAUAUAAAUUCGCCGAUCAAACAUUAAAACGAACUGUUGAUAUCAAUAUGAGUAACUGACAUCAUAGUUUUAAAACAAAAUAUUAGAUCUUAAAUUAGUUUAUUCUAAAUUAUAAAAAAGCAAUUAGAAACAUUUUUUUAUACGCAAGUCGAAAUUAUUAGUCAGUAAAUUUUACGCGUCCAUAUAACAAGUUGUACGAUAUCUAAUUAAUAUUAAUAAUAUCUAUAUUCAUAUAGUGCAUUUUUUAAUUUAGUGAAAUAGAAUAAAAUAGAAUAGAAAAUAGAAUAAUGGUAUACGCAGCACAACCUAUUAUGCAGUUUUAUCCAUCUAGAAUGUCAGUAAAACAACUGAUAUCCUACAUUUUUUUUCAAAUAUUAAAAAUGUUUGUGAAUGUAAUAUUAUAAUUGUAAAAGAACCAAGGAAUAUGAAAAACGAACUAAGAAAUAUAAAAAAAACUUUUUCCGUGUUUUAAUAUGUAUCUUUUUAAUGUAUUAAUAAAGCAAGUUCGACCCAAAAAUUGGGACUCAACUCAUAAUUGGGACGGUUACCUUGCUACGCUAUAAUUCAGACACAUGUCGUCGUAACAAAGUAAUUCUUUCAACAAG